Molecule: non-coding RNA, 30 nt
Filed under: Mus musculus (house mouse)
Lineage: Eukaryota; Metazoa; Chordata; Mammalia; Rodentia; Muridae
Source: RNAcentral
AUCAUGACGACAAAUUUAAUUCUGAGAUCA